UGAGCUGGCAGGCAGCUUGCUGCUUCGCUGACGAGUGGCGGACGGGUGAGUAAUGUCUGGGAAACUGCCUGAUGGAGGGGGAUAACUACUGGAAACGGUAGCUAAUACCGCAUAACGUCGCAAGACCAAAGAGGGGGACCUUCGGGCCUCUUGCCAUCGGAUGUGCCCAGAUGGGAUUAGCUAGUAGGUGGGGUAACGGCUCACCUAGGCGACGAUCCCUAGCUGGUCUGAGAGGAUGACCAGCCACACUGGAACUGAGACACGGUCCAGACUCCUACGGGAGGCAGCAGUGGGGAAUAUUGCACAAUGGGCGCAAGCCUGAUGCAGCCAUGCCGCGUGUAUGAAGAAGGCCUUCGGGUUGUAAAGUACUUUCAGCGGGGAGGAAGGCGAUAAGGUUAAUAACCUUGUCGAUUGACGUUACCCGCAGAAGAAGCACCGGCUAACUCCGUGCCAGCAGCCGCGGUAAUACGGAGGGUGCAAGCGUUAAUCGGAAUUACUGGGCGUAAAGCGCACGCAGGCGGUCUGUCAAGUCGGAUGUGAAAUCCCCGGGCUCAACCUGGGAACUGCAUUCGAAACUGGCAGGCUAGAGUCUUGUAGAGGGGGGUAAAAAUUCCAGGUGUAGCGGGUGAAAUGCGUAUAAGAUCUGGGAGGAAUACCGGGUGGCGAAAGGCG
Molecule: ribosomal RNA, 672 nt
Filed under: Enterobacter hormaechei
Lineage: Bacteria; Pseudomonadati; Pseudomonadota; Gammaproteobacteria; Enterobacterales; Enterobacteriaceae
Description: bacterial SSU rRNA
Rfam family: Bacterial small subunit ribosomal RNA
Source: RNAcentral